UGGGGAAUAUUGCGCAAUGGGCGGAAGCCUGACGCAGCGACGCCGCGUGGGGGAUGACGGCCUUCGGGUUGUAAACCUCUUUCAGCUCCGACGAAGCGAGAGUGACGGUAGGAGCAGAAGAAGCACCGGCCAACUACGUGCCAGCAGCCGCGGUAAUACGUAGGGUGCAAGCGUUGUCCGGAAUUAUUGGGCGUAAAGAGCUCGUAGGCGGUUCGUCGCGUCGGCUGAAGCAACGGAGCUCAACUCCGGGCCUGCAGUCGAUACGGGCGGACUAGAGUUCGGCAGGGGAGACUGGAAUUCCUGGUGUAGCGGUGAAAUGCGCAGAUAUCAGGAGGAACACCGGUGGCGAAGGCGGGUCUCUGGGCCGAUACUGACGCUGAGGAGCGAAAAGCGUGGGGAGCGAACA
This 406-nucleotide ribosomal RNA is filed under the name uncultured Geodermatophilaceae bacterium. RNAcentral's name for it is "bacterial SSU rRNA". It matches the Rfam family "Bacterial small subunit ribosomal RNA", at positions 355 to 774 of the family's 1533-position model. The record is from RNAcentral. Lineage: Bacteria; Bacillati; Actinomycetota; Actinomycetes; Geodermatophilales; Geodermatophilaceae.